Molecule: ribosomal RNA, 204 nt
Filed under: uncultured bacterium
Lineage: Bacteria
Description: partial 16S ribosomal RNA
Rfam family: Archaeal small subunit ribosomal RNA
Source: RNAcentral
UAAAACCAGCACCUCGAGUGGUCAGGACGAUUAUUGGGCCUAAAGCAUCCGUAGCUGGUUUUGCAAGUCUCCGGUUAAAUCCACCUGCUUAACAGAUGGGCCGCUGGAGAUACUACAAGACUAGGGAGUGGGAGAGGCAGACGGUAUUCGGGGGGUAGGGGUAAAAUCCUCUGAUCCUUUGAGGACCACCAGUGGCGAAGGCGG